AAAAAACAAAUCAUAUUAUUAAACAAUAAAUAAAAAAAAGAAAUAUGAAUAAUAAAGCAUAAAUAUAAAAGAAAAUAUUAAAAGAAAGAAAAACUACAUGGUUUCGAAUGCAUGAUGCAAUUAAAAGAAAAAAACAAAUCAUAUUAUUAAACAAUAAAUAAAAAAAAGAAAUAUGAAUAAUAAAGCAUAAAUAUAAAAGAAAAUAUUAAAAGAAAGAAAAACUACACCUGGGAGUAUCGAACCCACUAUACUAAAGAUCUAGAAGCCACUCCCCUCCAUCAGACCACUUACUAACUAACUGAUACUUUAAUGCUAACUUAAAUGUAUAAACUAAGAUAACCUAAAAAGAAUGAAAAAAAUAAAUAAUAAAAAAACUGUAGAGUUCCCUAGUUAAAUCCCAACCCCUGCCGUUGGUUUCUUCAAAAAGAGAAUGGGAAAUGAAAAUAUUAAUUGACUGUACCUAGGAAAAUUAAAGGAUCCCUUUUUAAUAAUGUUUUUUUUUAAAACUAAUUACUCUAUUUAAUACUAAAUUGGAAAAAGAAAAUAAAGAAAGAAAAAACAAAAAAAAUGGAAUCGUCUCUCUCACAAAGCUCGUUCACCUCUCCACCGCUCAACUUCACUCUCGGCCGCUCCCCACCUCUCGCGAUGCUCUCUCUCAAACACUCUC
This 667-nucleotide long non-coding RNA is filed under the name Lathyrus oleraceus (garden pea). Its description in RNAcentral is "Pisum sativum (pea) long non-coding RNA (PSAT_LNC021217)". The record is from RNAcentral. Lineage: Eukaryota; Viridiplantae; Streptophyta; Magnoliopsida; Fabales; Fabaceae.